CAGUCGCCGCGGGAAUACGAAGGGUGCAAGCGUUAAUCGGAAUUACUGGGCGUAAAGCGUGCGUAGGCGGUGAAUUAAGUCUGCUGUGAAAUCCCCGGGCUCAACCUGGGAAUGGCAGUGGAUACUGGCUCGCUAGAGUGUGUCAGAGGAUGGUGGAAUUCCCGGUGUAGCGGUGAAAUGCGUAGAGAUCGGGAGGAACAUCAGUGGCGAAGGCGGCCAUCUGGGACAACACUGACGCUGAGGCACGAAAGCGUGGGGAGCAAACAGGAUUAGAUACCCCUGUAGUCCCUGUCUCUUAUAC
This 301-nucleotide ribosomal RNA is filed under the name uncultured bacterium. Its description in RNAcentral is "partial 16S ribosomal RNA". It matches the Rfam family "Bacterial small subunit ribosomal RNA", at positions 509 to 807 of the family's 1533-position model. The record is from RNAcentral.